CAUCACCACCCUCUCUAUUGUGCCCAUGGAGCACCUUGAGAACUUCUAUCUGCUCACUUUGGUUUUCUGGUCAAAAGUUCUUGACCCAAAAAUUUGUCAUGGUCACUCUUCCAUUAAACUGAGUGAAAUGAUGAACACAUGGUCAUCAGAUCCCAUAGGACAAGGGACUAAUUGUGAAGAAAGUGUCCCAUUUUUGAGGCUAGGAUUAUAGAUCCUGGUGAUCAAUGGUUAAUAGGAAUCUAUCUAUGCAUUUUAAGAAAGUGACUGGAAAGUGUGUCAAUUCUGGAAGAGCUUCAGGAAUGGUCCUCCCAAUAACAUUGUCACUGGUGACAGCUGGUAGGUCAGUUCAGCAGGUGUCAGCAUGGAGCUUCAGGUGAUUCAGGAGGUGGCCAGCACAGGUCCAGGCAGCAUAAUGGGGCAUAGGGAAUGUGACCUGCACAGGGCGACAGGGAGAUGUGACCUCUAGCCACAGCCUCCUGGUCAGCCUGAGGCUGAGAAUCAUGGGGUCCAGUCCCUUCCUUCCUCACUGUGAUGUCAUAGUGUCACCUGGAUAUAACAGAAGCCAUCCUGGCUGCUUAAGCUAAGGUCUGAUCAUGGCCCUGGACUAGGAUCAGGAGGCAGGAGGAGCAGGUUCACUCUACUUGCAGCCCUAACCCCCUCACCCUGUGCCUGUGUAUGCCGAGGUCAGGAGACACAACCAUGUGUGUGGCAGGUGUGUCUGUGAAGCUCCAAGCUGCUCUGCCCACCUGCUCUCCUCCC
Molecule: long non-coding RNA, 759 nt
Filed under: Marmota monax (woodchuck)
Lineage: Eukaryota; Metazoa; Chordata; Mammalia; Rodentia; Sciuridae
Source: RNAcentral